This 91-nucleotide transfer RNA is filed under the name Phycisphaerae bacterium. RNAcentral's name for it is "tRNA-Ser". It matches the Rfam family "tRNA". Rfam says of the family: Transfer RNA (tRNA) molecules are approximately 80 nucleotides in length. Their secondary structure includes four short double-helical elements and three loops (D, anti-codon, and T loops). Lineage: Bacteria; Pseudomonadati; Planctomycetota; Phycisphaerae. The record is from RNAcentral.
GGAGAGAUGGCCGAGCGGCUGAAGGCGACGGUUUGCUAAACCGUUAUACGGAGUCAAAUCCGUAUCCGGGGUUCGAAUCCCCGUCUCUCCG